AUUGAACGCUGGCGGCAUGCCUUACACAUGCAAGUCGAACGGUAACGGGCCUUCGGGUGCCGACGAGUGGCGAACGGGUGAGUAAUACAUCGGAACGUGCCCGAUUGUGGGGGAUAACGAGGCGAAAGCUUUGCUAAUACCGCAUACGAUCUACGGAUGAAAGCAGGGGACCGCAAGGCCUUGCGCGGACGGAGCGGCCGAUGGCAGAUUAGGUAGUUGGUGGGAUAAAAGCUUACCAGGCCGACGAUCUGUAGCUGGUCUGAGAGGAUGAUCAGCCACACUGGGACUGAGACACGGCCCAGACUCCUACGGGAGGCAGCAGUGGGGAAUUUUGGACAAUGGGCGCAAGCCUGAUCCAGCCAUGCCGCGUGCAGGAUGAAGGCCUUCGGGUUGUAAACUGCUUUUGUACGGAACGAAAAGCCUUCUUUUAAUACAGGAGGGUCAUGACGGUACCGUAAGAAUAAGCACCGGCUAACUACGUG
Molecule: ribosomal RNA, 482 nt
Filed under: uncultured bacterium
Lineage: Bacteria
Description: partial 16S ribosomal RNA
Rfam family: Bacterial small subunit ribosomal RNA
Source: RNAcentral